RNAcentral lists this ribosomal RNA (292 nucleotides) under uncultured bacterium. RNAcentral's name for it is "partial 16S ribosomal RNA". The record is from RNAcentral.
GGACUACACGGGUUUCUAAUCCUGUUUGCUCCCCAUGCUUUCGCGCCUCAGCGUCAGUUUCAGCCCAGUAAACCGUUUUCACCACCGAUGUUCCUCCACAUAUCUACGCAUUUCACCGCUACACGUGGAAUUCCGUUUACCCUAACUGUACUCUAGUCAGACAGUUUCAAAUGCAGCUCCGGGGUUGAGCCCCGGAAUUUCACAUCUGACUUAUCUAACCGCCUACGCGCCCUUUACGCCCAGUAAUUCCGAUCAAUGCUUGCACCCUCCGUAUUACCGCGGCGGCUGGCAC